RNAcentral lists this ribosomal RNA (248 nucleotides) under uncultured bacterium. Its description in RNAcentral is "partial 16S ribosomal RNA". It matches the Rfam family "Bacterial small subunit ribosomal RNA", at positions 15 to 259 of the family's 1533-position model. The record is from RNAcentral.
GAUCCUGGCUCAGAUUGAACGCUGGCGGCAGGCCUAACACAUGCAAGUCGAACGGUAACAGGAAGCAGCUUGCUGCUUUGCUGACGAGUGGCGGACGGGUGAGUAAUGUCUGGGAAACUGCCCGAUGGAGGGGGAUAACUACUGGAAACGGUAGCUAAUACCGCAUAACGUCGCAAGACCAAAGAGGGGGACCUUAGGGCCUCUUGCCAUCGGAUGUGCCCAGAUGGGAUUAGCUAGUAGGUAGGGGG